This 22-nucleotide non-coding RNA is filed under the name Sclerotinia trifoliorum. The record is from RNAcentral. Lineage: Eukaryota; Fungi; Ascomycota; Leotiomycetes; Helotiales; Sclerotiniaceae.
UGUUCUGAUCAUUCUUUUUAGG